CUCGGUGCCAGUCUGGGUCCAGAUAUUUGGGCUCUGAGACAGAUUGCCAAGAAUUGCCUAUUUCGAAAACGUGGUCAAAUACUCUUCUCUGAUAUCUCCAACUUAGCGGUUCCUUUGGGUAGACAGUCCCAUCUACCACAGAAAUGUCCAGAAUAGCCAAAGAAGAGGUUGCCGUGGAUGCUUAUGGCUGGCAGAGAUGACAGAAAGAAAGCGUGGGAGGAGAACCUUUGGAGACUCCGACAGCAGGAAAUGCUAAGGAGAGAGCGUUCUUUGCUUCCCAGUCUUCCCCCGAGGGCAUUCAUCCUGGAUGAAGACGUUCGAAUCAAAGAAUCACUGCGGUUAGAGUGGGUAGUAACCUACACUGCGCAGUAGCUGUCCCACUCGGCACAGGCUUUCUUCUGCUCCCGAAACGUGGUGGGAGUCGAUGCUCGGUAUUCCUACUCACAGGUUUCCACGUGUGCACGUUUUUCCAUGACAAGCUGCAGAAUAGUUACCUUAUCCUUUCCAAUCUUCCUAAUUUUUCUGGCCUCAAGCCUGAAGAAAAUUGUGUUAAGCCUUUCACGUUAAGCCCACACAUUGUACUAGCCCAAAUGAAUGUCGCAAACUGUGAGCGGACUGCAGGGGGGCUGCCUGUGCAAUUCAUUUGCAACUUAGAGACAAAACACAGAUGAAGGGGAAAAAUAACGAAUUGAUUUGCAUGACCAGCAGGUACUGCGUUAACAUUUUGGUACAUUUGUCCUAGUGAAAAAUGCUAACGGCCCUUAGAAGCUGUGUGACCACCGUCAAUCUAUCUGUUCCUCUAAGCCUUGGCUUGCUCCCAGGCCGCCCUCUUCCCUGUCCAGACGCCUCUCCCAUUCUCUGACCCACGUGCCGACUGUCUGCUGUGCAAAGUAGAGUUCACUAUUUCCUAACCUGCUCUUCCUCCUGUGUCCCCAGUGUCCACUCAGCUGCCCAAGUCAGAGGCUGGGGACACCCUUCCUGCCGUCCUCUCCCCUCCCACGUGGCUCAUCUCCGAGUCCUGUCAACCCCCCUCCUCCCCUUCCUGCCCAGAUUUACUGCGGCCACUUCAGCUCAGCCACUUUCAUGUCUCAUCUGCUUUAUGGCAACAACCCCCCAGUUGGCCCCUGACCCCGACCCCUGCUGGGCCUUUCUAAUCUAUUUUCCUCAUGAUAGCCCAUGAUCUUUCCAAAAUCAAAAAGGGGCCUUGUCGCCCUCCAGUUUUUAAGCCCUCAGCGGCUCUCCAUUAGCUGCCAUCCGAGUCCUGCUUCUCUGUCUAGCCUCAUCUCCAACCCGUAAGUUCCUCCACGGCAUACUUUGAACCGUACAUACUACGCACAAGGCUCUCAAAGCAUGAGCUGAAGAGGGUGGGGUCCCCAGGGCCCUUUCACGGGGCCUGAGGUCAAGACUCUAUUC
Equus asinus (donkey) is the source of this 1413-nucleotide long non-coding RNA. The record is from Ensembl. Lineage: Eukaryota; Metazoa; Chordata; Mammalia; Perissodactyla; Equidae.